UGUGCUGACGUCAAUUUGUUUACAGUUGAGGGGUCUGGUGUGCGUCAGGCAGCACGGGGAGGGAUAAAAGUGGCGUGCAUAUUCUCAUUGUUCUGCCACAUAUUCUCCAUAUUUCCAUCAUCCGAGAACUGAUACCUUAGAGAUGGCGAAAGCAGUGCCCCAGAGCAUCAGACUCAAGCCUCACCGGGAACUCUUCGAUCCUGACUUCGAGGGGUACAAGCUAUCCAGUGACAGCGAACUAACAGUCUACUCACGCCCAGCCUCUGACGGCGUGCAGCACAAGGUCUGUCAAUCGACAUGUUACCUGCACACCAGACUGCAGGCGCUUCAUAACCACCUGUUCCAAGACCCAUUCCACCCCCUCACUGUGUACUUCUUCAACACCAAAGGCCACCUGGUUAGGUGCAGCUACUCAGAGGAAUCAAGACUGAGUGCAGGAGAGGUAACGUGGCUGGCAGAGGUUGGUGAAGCUGAAGGGGAGGAAGACUAUCACUAUCCAUCAAGCCUCAAGUUUCCAACCUCUGACCUGGCCGUGGUGUCAGAUGGCCGAGGGAAGCUGACUGUUCUGAAGACUGAUGACCGCACCAGCACACGCAGCUGGGUGACAAAUUUUGAAACAAAGAGUGACCACGGUGUGCUUGCCUAUGCAGGGGUGAAGGGUGACAACAGGGAGCUACACUGUCUCCUUGUCUCCAUCACAUCACCAAGCAAACUCCACGAGGAUCCAGAUCUUGUGGUAGCAGAUGAGGCUUUUUGCUCCAAAACAGACACCACAGUGCACCUCAUCCGGUGGCUUGUUCUUACUGAGAAAGAAUCAGGAUGGGAGGUUAGCUGCAGUAGGAUGGUAGCUGGCCGAGGUGUGCUGGAGUACUGUGCUGUGGACAGUGAAGGAACUGGCCUCCUGCUGCUGUGCCAUUCCAACUAUUUCUUUGUGGGUGAUUCAGUGAAGCCUGUCACCAAGCCAAAUCCUCAACCAGAAAAGUCAUCCAAAGAACAACCAAAGUUUACCUUUCAGCAGAAUGAUGAGGAUGUCACUGUUUGGCUGAAGGUAGGGUCAGCCACCAAGGAUGAGAUGCAGGUUAAAAUCACUGUGAAUGAGUUGGAUUUAUGCAUUAAGGACACACCAUCCCUCCAGGCACACUUCCUGCACCCCAUCAAAGCAGACUUGGCAACGUGGACCAUUGGUGAUGAAAAGCUUGAGUUGGUGCUGCCAAAGGCCAUCAAGGGGGAGAGGUGGCAGUCCCUUUUCUCUGAGGAUGACAUGUGGGGGGAAGAAGUGCUUGACCCAGCCAUGCUGGAGGAAAUAAACCAGAACCUUGCCCAUCUCACCUCAGACAAACUGAACCCUGACCCAAACCUAGACAAGCCGGCAUAUGACCCUGAGCAGCUUGAGGACUGUGACACGGCGGCUGAGGACCUACUUCUCAUUCGGUUGGAUGGCUCCUCCCACCAGCUGACCAACUAUGGCCAGCUGGGAGCCACUCAACACCUCUUCAAUAUGCAGGUGGAUGAGGUGAGUGUGCCAGCUUUCUGCAUCAGGCAUGACGUGGAUGGUGUAUUGUGGCAGCCAAAGAGGGAAGUCCAGUUUGACCACCUGGCCACCUAUCAUGCCUUUGGCUUCGUGAGGGCCUCCAAGACCACUGCCAAGUUUACAUGUGGAGCACAAGAUCUGUCGUAUGUGGCUGUGGCAGAAGUGCGGAGUCACGUGUACAUGUUCUUCCAGCCUGAGGUGCUGCAGGGGGAGCUGCGGAACAGGAAGUCAGGCCGCCGCCUCCACAAAGUGUCCCGCCAGCUGGUGAUCUCCCUCAAGAGCCACUCUGAGGUGCUGGGUCUGUAUGCCACACCCAGCAUUCUCUUUGUGCUCACAGACCAUACACUGUAUGCCUACUGUGUGCAGAACUCCUAGUGUUGUGAAUGGUGGAUCAUUUGAGUGGCGGUGAAAUCUUUGUACUCUCCACCGUGGCGCUGUUUCAAGCGUGGGGAACAGGGGAACUCACACCAGGAAGCAAGGUUAGAAGCGGUGACGUGACAUCAAUUCAAUAUCGACCCUUCAUCAGUCAGAUCUGUUCCAUCUAAUAUUUAUAUCAGGGAAUAAUAGUAGUAGUAGUAGUAGUAGUAGUAGUAGUAGUAGUAGUAGCAGCAGUAGUAGUUAUUGUAUGUACGAGUGUGUUAUCAUCAUUUACACUCUACGUUACUACUACUACUAUUAGUACAACAAAAAAUAACAAUUACUAGUACUACUAUAAAUUCAUCUACUCCUAAGUAGUUAGUGUGUUUCAAGUAUAGAUAAGACGCAGUGUAACGUAUGAAUAGCUACUGGUUGCUUCAAAGGUUUAUCUGCUAUUUAGUCAUUGUAUAAGUAUCUAUAAAUAUGUUCCAAGUGUCGAUGUGUAAUGUGUAGUGUAUAGACAGGUGUAAAGGUGUGUAUAAUGUGGUUCUGCGCUCCUAAAGGUAAAGAACGUUCUAAGGUGAUGCUUUUGAGAUCUUGCAAUGGGCCAGUGUUCCUACGAACGUACUCUAAAACAAUCUUGUCAGAGUCUUGUAUCUGAGUAUCGUUGAGUCUGAUUCGCUUGUAAUGACGUUGUAAGAAUUUGUCUUUAUCCAUUGCAUUCAUAUUGAAGACUUAAAUAAGAACUGAUGUAGCAAUGUUUCCUUUUCAGGGCAUGUAAGCGUUUCAGUAUUACUCACUGCUCGUUUGUUUUCACCAUAUGAGUGAAGUGAGCACAAUGUUCAGUUCGUUUAGGAAUAAAAAGAAGUUCAGAGUUGCUUUGUUUUUAGGAAAGUUCUGGAGUUCUGUAUCGCAACUUUGCUUAUCUUCUUAAGUGCCAUAUUUGUUGUUAUUAUCGAUGCUCAUUUGUUUUUCUCUGUACAAGCUAUUCAAGGUAGAUGUUGUGAAGUU
RNAcentral lists this unclassified non-coding RNA (2899 nucleotides) under Portunus trituberculatus (swimming crab). RNAcentral's name for it is "nudC domain-containing protein 1-like, transcript variant X1". Lineage: Eukaryota; Metazoa; Arthropoda; Malacostraca; Decapoda; Portunidae. The record is from RNAcentral.